Selaginella moellendorffii is the source of this 174-nucleotide long non-coding RNA. RefSeq lists it as uncharacterized. The record is from RefSeq and is a predicted model, not a curated record. The transcript is spliced from 3 exons. NCBI's taxonomy places the organism in Eukaryota, Viridiplantae, Streptophyta, Lycopodiopsida, Selaginellales, Selaginellaceae.
AUCUGUUUAUACUUUCUUCUAAGUUUAAGUGCCAUCUCCAUCUCUCAGGGACGAGAUCAAGGAGACACUCACAUUGUCUAUUUGGGGAAUGUCGAUAAAUCCCUCCAUCCAGACGCUGUUACAAGCUCCCAUCACGCACUCCUUGGGGAUGUUCUAGGAAGUGUCAAAGCUGCC